This 253-nucleotide ribosomal RNA is filed under the name uncultured bacterium. RNAcentral's name for it is "partial 16S ribosomal RNA". It matches the Rfam family "Bacterial small subunit ribosomal RNA", at positions 524 to 776 of the family's 1533-position model. The record is from RNAcentral.
UACGUAGGGUGCAAGCGUUGUCCGGAAUUAUUGGGCGUAAAGAGCUCGUAGGCGGUUUGUCGCGUCUGCUGUGAAAACUCGGGGCUUAACCCCGGGCCUGCAGUGGGUACGGGCAGACUAGAGUGCGGUAGGGGAGACUGGAAUUCCUGGUGUAGCGGUGAAAUGCGCAGAUAUCAGGAGGAACACCGGUGGCGAAGGCGGCACUCUGGGCCGGAACUGACGCUGAGGAGCGAAAGCGUGGGGAGCGAACAGG